UAGAUACCCUGGUAGUCCACGCUGUAAACGAUGUCGAUUUGGGGGUUGAACUUUAAGUUUGGCGCCCGUAGCUAACGUGAUAAAUCGACCGCCUGGGGAGUACGGCCGCAAGGUUAAAACUCAAAUGAAUUGACGGGGGCCCGCACAAGCGGUGGAGCAUGUGGUUUAAUUCGAUGCAACGCGAAGAACCUUACCUACUCUUGACAUCCAGAGAACAUUCCAGAGAUGGAUUGGUGCCUUCGGGAACUCU
This 250-nucleotide ribosomal RNA is filed under the name uncultured bacterium. RNAcentral's name for it is "partial 16S ribosomal RNA". It matches the Rfam family "Bacterial small subunit ribosomal RNA", at positions 779 to 1030 of the family's 1533-position model. The record is from RNAcentral.